ACAUCUGGAGUGCUAGCUGCAUGAAGGAGCUACCCGCUGUGGGUCUUCUCUUUGCUGACAGCUGGACACUUGACAGAAUGACGUGCCUGAACUCGGGACCUGCUGAAUGAUGGGACUGAAGAAGCUGUAACACAAACAGGGCUAAAACACGCACUCUCCUCCCCCUGCUCCCCACCGCCCCACCCACUUGCCACAUUGGAGGUGAUGAGAAGGAGAGAAAAGCUGUGGCCUUUCAGGGAGCAUAGUCGCAGGGGCUCCCUGAGCCAGGGCUGUGAAACCCUCUUCCGGGCACUGCAGUUCCUGGCAUCUCCAAGCUUCUGAGUGCCACCGCAUUCCCCGCGUCCGGAUGCAGGUCAAUGCACAGAAAGAAAUCUCUCUCCUGACUUUAGUACAAUGGCACGAUUGGUGGCCACAGUCCAAGGAUGGUUGCUGGGGCAUCAAGAGAUUUCUGACAAAGGGCAUUAAAACUGAGAAAAUUUGGGAACCUCUGAAUGCUGUAGGACUUGCAUCUACGUUCUAACUGAGCUUGUUGGACACUGAAAUGGAGGAAGAAUCACAAGCCAUUUUCAAACCUACGGAGUUUUGCUCUGUAGCCAGGCUGGAGUGCAGUGGCACGAUCUCAGCUCACUGCAACGCAACCUCCAACUCCCUGGUUCAAGAGAUUCUCCUGCUGUGUCCAGAGUUGGUGGGUUCUUGGUCUCACUUACUUCAAGAAUGAAGCCACAGACCCUCAUGAGACGCGGUUUCGCCAUGUCGGCCAGGCUUGUCUCAAUCUCCUGACCUCGUGAUCUGCCUACCUCGGCCUCCCAAAGUGCUGGGAUUACAGGCGUGAGCCACCGCGCCUGGCCGAUCUGAUGGUUUUAUAAGGGGCUUUUUGCCGCUUCACUCAGCACUCCUCUCUCCUGCCGCCAUGUAAAGGACGUGUUUGCUUCCACUUCUGCUUUGAUUGUAAGUUUCCUGAGGCCUCCCCGGCCAUGCACAACUGUGAGUCAAUUAAACCUCUUACCUCUAUCAAUCACCUCUAUCAAUUAAACCUCUUUCCUCUAUAAAUUACUCGGGUAUUUUUCUUCAUAGCAGCAGAAGGGACUAAUACACCCAGAAAACUUAGCUAUUUUUUUUUUUUUUUUUUUGAAAUAGAGACGGGGGUCCCGCCCACUUUUUUUUUGUUGUUGUUCAGGCUAGUCUUGAACUCCUGGGCUCAAGUGUUUCUCUCUCCUUGGCCUCCUAAAGUGCUCAAACUGUGGGAAUUACAAGCAUAAACCACUAUGCAUAGCCUAAAUUUACUCUUCUGUUAGUUUUACGGUUUUACGUAUACCUCUAAAUGUUUCAAUUUUUAGUUAAUUAGUGUAUAAGACAUCCACUAUAAAUUAAAGUUCAAUUUUUUUGCAUGUGGCUUUCCAAUUACCCCAGCACAAUUUUCAGAGAAAAGUAUUAUCUUCCCACUGAAAUGUAUUUACACCUUUCUCCAAAGUCGGUUGACCAUAUAAAUAUAAGUUUAUAUCUGGAGUCUAUUUUUUACC
Gorilla gorilla gorilla (western lowland gorilla) is the source of this 1520-nucleotide long non-coding RNA. RefSeq lists it as uncharacterized. The record is from RefSeq and is a predicted model, not a curated record. Lineage: Eukaryota; Metazoa; Chordata; Mammalia; Primates; Hominidae. The transcript is spliced from 6 exons.